UCCUGACUGACCGAUAGUGAACCAGUACCGUGAGGGAAAGGCGAAAAGAACCCCGGCGAGGGGAGUGAAAAAGAACCUGAAACCGUGUACGUACAAGCAGUGGGAGCACCUAUAUGGUGUGACUGCGUACCUUUUGUAUAAUGGGUCAGCGACUUAUAUUCUGUAGCAAGGUUAACCGAAUAGGGGAGCCGCAGGGAAACCGAGUCUUAACUGGGCGAAUUAGUUGCAGGGUAUAGACCCGAAACCCGGUGAUCUAGCCAUGGGCAGGUUGAAGGUUGGGUAACACUAACUGGAGGACCGAACCGACUAAUGUUGAAAAAUUAGCGGAUG
Molecule: ribosomal RNA, 330 nt
Filed under: Morganella morganii subsp. morganii
Lineage: Bacteria; Pseudomonadati; Pseudomonadota; Gammaproteobacteria; Enterobacterales; Morganellaceae
Description: partial 23S ribosomal RNA
Rfam family: Bacterial large subunit ribosomal RNA
Source: RNAcentral